This 420-nucleotide ribosomal RNA is filed under the name uncultured bacterium. RNAcentral describes it as "bacterial SSU rRNA". It matches the Rfam family "Bacterial small subunit ribosomal RNA", at positions 355 to 772 of the family's 1533-position model. The record is from RNAcentral.
UAAGGAAUAUUGGUCAAUGGACGCAAGUCUGAACCAGCCAUGCCGCGUGGAGGAUGAAGGUCCUCUGGAUUGUAAACUUCUUUUAUCGGCGAAGAAACCCAUACUUUCUAGUGUGGUUGACGGUACCCGAUGAAUAAGCACCGGCUAACUCCGUGCCAGCAGCCGCGGUAAUACGGAGGGUGCAAGCGUUAUCCGGAUUCACUGGGUUUAAAGGGUGCGUAGGUGGGUUGGUAAGUCAGUGGUGAAAUCUCCGGGCUUAACUCGGAAACUGCCGUUGAUACUAUCAAUCUUGAAUGUUGUGGAGGUAAGCGGAAUAUGUCAUGUAGCGGUGAAAUGCUUAGAUAUGACAUAGAACACCGAUAGCGAAGGCAGCUUGCUACACAAUAAUUGACACUGAGGCACGAAAGCGUGGGGAUCAAA